UCGCCUGUUUAUCAAAAACAUGGUUUCUUGAUAUUUUAUUGUAUAAGAGAUCUGACCUGCCCACUGAAAAAUUUGAAGGGCCGCAGUAUUUUGACUGUGCAAAGGUAGCAUAAUCAUUAGUCUUUUAAUUGAAGGCUGGAAUGAAUGGUUGGACGAGGUAAAACCUGUCUUAUUUUUUAAUGUAAAUUGAAUUUAAAUUUUAAGUAAAAAUGCUUAAAUGUGAUUAAGGGACGAGAAGACCCUAUAGAGUUUAAUAUUCGUAAUUUUAAUUGAGUUUAAGCUUAAUUUUUGAUUACUAUAAAGAAUAUUUAAUUGGGGUGAUUAGAAGAUACAUGAAACUCUUCUUUAAUUUUAAUAAAAUAAGUAAAUUGAAGAUCCAUUAAUAAUGAUUAUAAGAUUAAAUUACCUUAGGGAUAACAGCAUAAUUCUUUUUGAGAGUUCUAAUCGAGAAGGGAGCUUGUGACCUCGAUGUUGGACUAAGAUAAAUUGUGGGUGCAGAAGUUCACUAAUUAAGUCUGUUCGACUUUUAAAUUCUUACAUGAUCUGAGUUCAAACCGGAGA
RNAcentral lists this ribosomal RNA (561 nucleotides) under Stenotoxodera porioni. RNAcentral's name for it is "partial 16S ribosomal RNA". It matches the Rfam family "Bacterial large subunit ribosomal RNA", at positions 1796 to 2622 of the family's 2925-position model. Lineage: Eukaryota; Metazoa; Arthropoda; Insecta; Mantodea; Toxoderidae. The record is from RNAcentral.